RNAcentral lists this ribosomal RNA (445 nucleotides) under uncultured bacterium. RNAcentral's name for it is "partial 16S ribosomal RNA". It matches the Rfam family "Bacterial small subunit ribosomal RNA", at positions 354 to 796 of the family's 1533-position model. The record is from RNAcentral.
GUGAGGAAUAUUGGUCAAUGGACGAGAGUCUGAACCAGCCAAGUCGCGUGAAGGAAGACGGUUCUAUGAAUUGUAAACUUCUUUUGUGCAGGAAUAAAGUGGGUUACGUGUAACCUUUUGUAUGUACUGUACGAAUAAGGAUCGGCUAACUCCGUGCCAGCAGCCGCGGUAAUACGGAGGAUCCGAGCGUUAUCCGGAUUUAUUGGGUUUAAAGGGUGCGUAGGUGGAUUGAUAAGUCAGUGGUGAAAGUUUGCAGCUUAACUGUAAAAUUGACGUUGAAACUGUCGGUCUUGAGUGCAAAUGAGGUAGGCGGAAUGUGUUGUGUAGCGGUGAAAUGCUUAGAUAUUACAUGGAAUACCAAUUGCGAAGGCAGGUUACUACUUGUGGAUUGACGCUGAUGGACGAAAGCGUGGGGAGCGAACAGGAUUAGAAACCCGGGUAGUCC